AAUGACGUUAUGAGAAACGACAAUGUAAUGUCGCAAGAGAUAAAAUGUAGAGGUGCGCAAGCGAGUAAAAGAAGAGGAGAAGUAGAGAAAAAGGAGAAGAGGUGAAGACGCGAUCAGAAACUGAAUGUCGAGAAGAGUCUGCGGUCUAUUUAAAAUGAAAUGGGGCGUCGGUUUUUCCAGAAACCGACGUCUAGGAAGCUGAAAAGAUUGACGUUUUGGUUUCCUGUCAGGGUAGUUCACGUCGGUGCCCUUCACAGUCGAC
This 262-nucleotide long non-coding RNA is filed under the name Vigna radiata. RNAcentral's name for it is "long non-coding RNA (VRAD_LNC015258)". The record is from RNAcentral. Lineage: Eukaryota; Viridiplantae; Streptophyta; Magnoliopsida; Fabales; Fabaceae.